This 68-nucleotide transfer RNA is filed under the name Trichechus manatus (West Indian manatee). RNAcentral describes it as "transfer RNA-Val". It matches the Rfam family "tRNA". From Rfam's summary of the family: Transfer RNA (tRNA) molecules are approximately 80 nucleotides in length. Their secondary structure includes four short double-helical elements and three loops (D, anti-codon, and T loops). Further hydrogen bonds mediate the characteristic L-shaped molecular structure. tRNAs have two regions of fundamental functional importance: the anti-codon, which is responsible for specific mRNA codon recognition, and the 3' end, to which the tRNAs corresponding amino acid is attached (by aminoacyl-tRNA synthetases). tRNAs cope with the degeneracy of the genetic code in two manners: having more than one tRNA (with a specific anti-codon) for a particular amino acid; and 'wobble' base-pairing, i.e. permitting non-standard base-pairing at the 3rd anti-codon position. Lineage: Eukaryota; Metazoa; Chordata; Mammalia; Sirenia; Trichechidae. RNAcentral also lists the same sequence under 2 other names. The record is from RNAcentral.
CAAAGUGUAGCUUAACAUAAAGCGCCUGGCCUACACCCAGAAGAUUUCAUGUUCAUUGACCACUUUGA